This 519-nucleotide unclassified non-coding RNA is filed under the name Hevea brasiliensis (rubber tree). The record is from RNAcentral. Lineage: Eukaryota; Viridiplantae; Streptophyta; Magnoliopsida; Malpighiales; Euphorbiaceae.
AACUUGGGCUGCGGGAUUGAUGCUUUAAUGUUGAAAAUUACAUUCAUUGUAGUUUGAGGCUAAAAUGGAAUUAUUACUAGGAAAACUCCUUCCCCUGAGGGCCAUGAUUGGGAUUUGGGGAUGUCCCACUUUGAGGUUAGAUGUUUCUCAUAGUGUAAUAUCUGUAAUCAAUUUUCAAAAUUAGAACUUGUAAUUGAUAUCGAUUCUUUAGAGUAUCUAGAGAAGAGAAGGAUACUAUCUUGUAUAAGAUGUAUGAGGGGUCUGAGCUCCAGAUUGUAAAAAUGAAAUCUUUAUUCUGAUAGACAUUGAAGUUGUAUAAGAAUUAAGAGUUUUGACUGAGGAUUCUUGAAUAGCAGUAUACGUUUCUUAUUACUGGAAAGGACAAGUGAUGCAACUCUCACCCUGAGUUUUGGAGGUCAGGUUCACGAUUUCGGUAUCUGCUAUAUUAUAUUUGAAGCAAUAUUUUCUACCAGUGUGAGUUUGUGGGCACACCCUUGAUCUUUUUCUUGUACAACUUCA